UACGUAGGGUGCAAGCGUUAAUCGGAAUUACGGGGCGUAAAGCGAGCGCAGGCGGUCGUGUAAGACAGAUGUGAAAUCCCCGGGCUCAACCUGGGAACUGCAUUUGUGACUGCACGGCUAGAGUGCGUCAGAGGGGGGUGGAACUCCACGUGUAGCAGUGAAAUGCGUAGAGAUGUGGAAGAACACCGAUGGCGAAGGCAGCCCCCUGGGAUGACACUGACGCUCAUGCUCGAAAGCGUGGGGAGCAAACAGG
This 253-nucleotide ribosomal RNA is filed under the name uncultured bacterium. RNAcentral describes it as "partial 16S ribosomal RNA". It matches the Rfam family "Bacterial small subunit ribosomal RNA", at positions 524 to 776 of the family's 1533-position model. The record is from RNAcentral.